Molecule: microRNA precursor, 82 nt
Filed under: Trichobilharzia regenti
Lineage: Eukaryota; Metazoa; Platyhelminthes; Trematoda; Strigeidida; Schistosomatidae
Description: mir-3492 microRNA precursor family
Rfam family: mir-3492 microRNA precursor family
Source: Rfam by way of RNAcentral
AACCUUCUGUAUCCGUGCUGAGAUUUUGUCAGUGAUCAAACCACUGGCGUUGGCUGAUGCAACUUCUCAAAUAAGUGAGGUG